This 89-nucleotide microRNA precursor is filed under the name Pelobates cultripes (western spadefoot toad). Lineage: Eukaryota; Metazoa; Chordata; Amphibia; Anura; Pelobatidae. The record is from RNAcentral.
AAAAAAAGUGGAGACAACGUUUUGGCUCCUCUCUGAGCCUUUAUCAAGACUUGCUCAGAGAGGAGCCGAAACUUUGUCUCCACUUUCUU